GAUGAACGCUGGCGGCGUGCCUAAUACAUGCAAGUCGAGCGAACGGACGAGAAGCUUGCUUCUCUGAUGUUAGCGGCGGACGGGUGAGUAACACGUGGAUAACCUACCUAUAAGACUGGGAUAACUUCGGGAAACCGGAGCUAAUACCGGAUAAUAUUUUGAACCGCAUGGUUCAAAAGUGAAAGACGGUCUUGCUGUCACUUAUAGAUGGAUCCGCGCUGCAUUAGCUAGUUGGUAAGGUAACGGCUUACCAAGGCAACGAUGCAUAUCCGACCUGAGAGGGUGAUCGGCCACACUGGAACUGAGACACGGUCCAGAAUCCUACGGGAGGCAGCAGUAGGGAAUCUUCCGCAAUGGGCGAAAGCCUGACGGAGCAACGCCGCGUGAGUGAUGAAGGUCUUCGGAUCGUAAAACUCUGUUAUUAGGGAAGAACAUAUGUGUAAGUAACUGUGCACAUCUUGACGGUACCUAAUCAGAAAGCCACGGCUAACUACGUG
Molecule: ribosomal RNA, 497 nt
Filed under: uncultured bacterium
Lineage: Bacteria
Description: partial 16S ribosomal RNA
Rfam family: Bacterial small subunit ribosomal RNA
Source: RNAcentral